CGAAAAUCGCCAGUCCAGUCAGCCGUGAGAAACAACGAAAAACCAGACAACGUUAAGUAUUUUGUUAUGAAGAAGAGAGAAGAGAUACAGAUACAUCGAUACGAUUUGAGGUGACAAGUUCGUCGUCUCUGACGUAUAAGUCUCCCGUU
Molecule: non-coding RNA, 149 nt
Organism: Caenorhabditis elegans
Lineage: Eukaryota; Metazoa; Nematoda; Chromadorea; Rhabditida; Rhabditidae
Source: Ensembl